GCAAGGCAUUUACUGCUUUGUAAUUGGAAUGAACAGAAUCCAAACCCCUUUAUGAACCUAUUGGAGGGCAAGUCUGGUGCCAGCAGCCGCGGUAAUUCCAGCUCCAAUGGCGUAUAUUAAAGUUGUUGCAGUUAAAAAGCUCGUAGUUGAAUUUCUGCCCUCGUUGGCCAGUCUCCGCUCUUUGAGUGAGAAUCCGGUUUGAUAGGGGCAUCCUUUUGAAUUACGCGGCUGCACUUUAUUGUGAGGUCGUGGAGUUCAAAACUUUUACUUUGAGAAAAUUAGAGUGUUUCAAGCAGGCUUACCGCCUUGAAUACUACAGCAUGGAAUAAUACUAUAGGACUUUGGUUCUAUUUUAUUGGUUUCUAGGACUAAAGUAAUGAUUAAUAGGGAUAGUUGGGGGCAUUCGUAUUUGUACUGUCAGAGGUGAAA
This 429-nucleotide ribosomal RNA is filed under the name Ostrea chilensis. RNAcentral describes it as "SSU rRNA". It matches the Rfam family "Eukaryotic small subunit ribosomal RNA", at positions 485 to 916 of the family's 1831-position model. Lineage: Eukaryota; Metazoa; Mollusca; Bivalvia; Ostreida; Ostreidae. The record is from RNAcentral.